CCUACGGGCGGCAGCAGUGGGGAAUAUUGGACAAUGGGGGCAACCCUGAUCCAGCCAUGCCGCGUGUGUGAAGAAGGCCCUCGGGUUGUAAAGCACUUUCAGUGAGGAAGAACGCCUGGUGGUUAAUACCCAUCAGGAAAGACAUCACUCACAGAAGAAGCACCGGCUAACUCCGUGCCAGCAGCCGCGGUAAUACGGAGGGUGCGAGCGUUAAUCGGAAUUACUGGGCGUAAAGCGCGCGUAGGUGGCUUGAUAAGCCGGUUGUGAAAGCCCCGGGCUCAACCUGGGAACGGCAUCCGGAACUGUCAAGCUAGAGUGCAGGAGAGGAUGGUAGAAUUCCCGGUGUAGCGGUGAAAUGCGUAGAGAUCGGGAGGAAUACCAGUGGCGAAGGCGGCCUUCUGGACUGACACUGACACUGAGGUGCGAAAGCGUGGGUAGCAAACAGGAUUAGAUACCCUGGUAGUC
This 465-nucleotide ribosomal RNA is filed under the name Vreelandella stevensii. RNAcentral's name for it is "partial 16S ribosomal RNA". It matches the Rfam family "Bacterial small subunit ribosomal RNA", at positions 338 to 795 of the family's 1533-position model. Lineage: Bacteria; Pseudomonadati; Pseudomonadota; Gammaproteobacteria; Oceanospirillales; Halomonadaceae. The record is from RNAcentral.